This 157-nucleotide ribosomal RNA is filed under the name Chaetoceros sp. DDZ-2010a. RNAcentral describes it as "partial 28S ribosomal RNA". It matches the Rfam family "Eukaryotic large subunit ribosomal RNA", at positions 1 to 152 of the family's 3401-position model. Lineage: Eukaryota; Bacillariophyta; Thalassiosirophyceae; Chaetocerotales; Chaetocerotaceae. The record is from RNAcentral.
CAUCGAAUCUCAGCUUGGUAAGGAUACCCGCUGAAUUUAAGCAUAUAAUUAAGCGGAGGAAAAGAAAAUAACCAUGAUUCCCUCAGUAAGGGCGACUGAAGCGGGAAGAGCUCAUUCUGUGAAUCUGCACUGGUCUCCGGUGCCGAGUUGUGGAAUG